GAUCCUGGCUCAGGACGAACGCUGGCGGCGUGCCUAACACAUGCAAGUCGAACGGAACUGUUUUGAAAGAUUUCUUCGGAAUGAAUUUGAUUUAGUUUAGUGGCGGACGGGUGAGUAACGCGUGAGUAACCUGCCUUCAAGAGGGGGAUAACAUUCUGAAAAAGGAUGCUAAUACCGCAUGACAUAUCGGAACCACAUGGUUUUGAUAUCAAAGAUUUUAUCGCUUGAAGAUGGACUCGCGUCCGAUUAG
Molecule: ribosomal RNA, 250 nt
Filed under: uncultured bacterium
Lineage: Bacteria
Description: partial 16S ribosomal RNA
Rfam family: Bacterial small subunit ribosomal RNA
Source: RNAcentral